GACGAACGCUGGCGGCAUGCCUAACACAUGCAAGUCGAACGAGAUCUUCGGGUCUAGUGGCGCACGGGUGCGUAACGCGUGGGAAUCUGCCCUUUGGUUCGGAAUAACAGUUGGAAACGACUGCUAAUACCGGAUGAUGACGAAAGUCCAAAGAUUUAUCGCCAGAGGAUGAGCCCGCGUAGGAUUAGCUAGUUGGUGUGGUAAAGGCGCACCAAGGCGACGAUCCUUAGCUGGUCUGAGAGGAUGAUCAGCCACACUGGGACUGAGACACGGCCCAGACUCCUACGGGAGGCAGCAGUGGGGAAUAUUGGACAAUGGGCGAAAGCCUGAUCCAGCAAUGCCGCGUGAGUGAGGAAGGCCUUAGGGUUGUAAAGCUCUUUUACCCGGGAUGAUAAUGACAGUACCGGGAGAAUAAGCUCCGGCUAACUCCGUGCCAGCAGCCGCCGUAA
This 449-nucleotide ribosomal RNA is filed under the name uncultured bacterium. Its description in RNAcentral is "partial 16S ribosomal RNA". It matches the Rfam family "Bacterial small subunit ribosomal RNA", at positions 28 to 523 of the family's 1533-position model. The record is from RNAcentral.